This 432-nucleotide ribosomal RNA is filed under the name uncultured bacterium. RNAcentral's name for it is "partial 16S ribosomal RNA". It matches the Rfam family "Bacterial small subunit ribosomal RNA", at positions 29 to 506 of the family's 1533-position model. The record is from RNAcentral.
AACGAACGCUGGCGGCAUGCCUAACACAUGCAAGUCGAACGAGACCUUCGGGUCUAGUGGCGCACGGGUGCGUAACGCGUGGGAAUCUGCCCUUCGGUUGGGAAUAACUGAGAGAAAUUUCAGCUAAUACCUUAUAAUGUCUUCGGACCAAAGAUUUAUCGCCGAGGGAUGAGCCCGCGUAGGAUUAGGUAGUUGGUGGGGUAAUGGCCUACCAAGCCGACGAUCCUUAGCUGGUCUGAGAGGAUGAUCAGCCACACUGGGACUGAGACACGGCCCAGACUCCUACGGGAGGAGGCAGGGGGGAAUAUGGGAAAGGGGGCAAAAGCCUGAUCCAGCAAUGCCGGGGGGGUGAUGAAGGCCUUAGGGUUGUAAAGCUUUUUUACCCGGGAUGAUAAUGACAGUACCGGGAGAAAAAGCCCCGGCAAACUCCGU